RNAcentral lists this ribosomal RNA (452 nucleotides) under uncultured bacterium. Its description in RNAcentral is "partial 16S ribosomal RNA". It matches the Rfam family "Bacterial small subunit ribosomal RNA", at positions 28 to 507 of the family's 1533-position model. The record is from RNAcentral.
GAUGAACGCUGGUGGCGUGCCUAACACUUGCAAGUCGAGCGAUUCUCUUCGGAGAAGAGCGGCGGACGGGUGAGUAACGCGUGGGUAACCUGCCCUGUACACACGGAUAACAUACCGAAAGGUAUGCUAAUACGAGAUAACAUGCUUUUAUCGCAUGGUAGAAGUAUCAAAGCUUUUGCGGUACAGGAUGGACCCGCGUCUGAUUAGCUAGUUGGUGAGGUAACGGCUCACCAAGGCGACGAUCAGUAGCCGACCUGAGAGGGUGAUCGGCCACAUUGGAACUGAGACACGGUCCAAACUCCUACGGGAGGCAGCAGUGGGGAAUAUUGCACAAUGGGCGAAAGCCUGAUGCAGCAACGCCGCGUGAGCGAUGAAGGCCUUCGGGUCGUAAAGCUCUGUCCUCAAGGAAGAUAAUGACGGUACUUGAGGAGGAAGCCCCGGCUAACUACGUG